This 87-nucleotide ribosomal RNA is filed under the name Escherichia coli. RNAcentral describes it as "partial 23S ribosomal RNA". It matches the Rfam family "Bacterial large subunit ribosomal RNA", at positions 2839 to 2925 of the family's 2925-position model. Lineage: Bacteria; Pseudomonadati; Pseudomonadota; Gammaproteobacteria; Enterobacterales; Enterobacteriaceae. The record is from RNAcentral.
UGAAGACGACGACGUUGAUAGGCCAGGUGUGUAAGCGCAGCGAUGCGUUGAGCUAACCGGUACUAAUGAACCGUGAGGCUUAACCUU